UCACUUACUGGAUUGAGCAGUGCAAGCUCCUUUUCUACUUUCCACCGGGGUGCAUGGUGUACACCACCUCGCCUAUUCCUGGAAGAUCAGUUUGAUGUUGUUCCUCCAGAGACUGGAUCUGUCAGUUCUUUAGGAAAAAAGACAGUGGGAGAGGAGCCAAACAGGAAAAAGAACCCAGCAGCAGUAAAGAUCAGCCCAUGGACAUUGGCCCGAUUAAAUGCAGAAGAGGUUUCGAAAGCUGCAGCAGAGGCAAGAAAAAAAUCCCGAAUCUUGCGGCCUUUGGUGCGACGGGAAGCCCCUUUUGGGCUAGAAGGAGAUAGUAGCUUUGGCAGCAGUGGCCGUCGGAUGGUCCCAAGGCCUGACAAUAGUAGGAGGAAAGUUAAUAAGAGAGUACGCCUGCCAGCUGACCUACCUAUGGAGCCCGUAACUAAGGUUUCAGGUAUGGCUGGGAGAAAAUUUUCACCGAGACAUCCACAAGCUUGGCCCCUCUUCAGCUUGAGGCAAGGAGUGCUUUCCAGACUAGCCGAGCAAUGUCAAGCUCAGUAGGGAUUGUUGCUUCUUCUCCAGAAAGCAGUUU
Molecule: unclassified non-coding RNA, 577 nt
Filed under: Hevea brasiliensis (rubber tree)
Lineage: Eukaryota; Viridiplantae; Streptophyta; Magnoliopsida; Malpighiales; Euphorbiaceae
Source: RNAcentral